AUUGAACGCUGGCUGCAGGCUUAACACAUGCAAGUCGAGCGGUAACAGAGAGAAGCUUGCUUCUCUGCUGACGAGCGGCGGACGGGUGAGUAAUGCCUAGGAAUCUGCCUAGUAGUGGGGGAUAACUUGCCGAAAGGUAAGCUAAUACCGCAUACGUCCUACGGGAGAAAGGAGGGGACCUUCGGGCCUUUCGCUAUUAGAUGAGCCUAGGUCGGAUUAGUUAGUUGGUGAGGUAAUGGCUCACCAAGACCGCGAUCCGUAACUGGUCUGAGAGGAUGAUCAGUCACACUGGAACUGAGACACGGUCCAGACUCCUACGGGAGGCAGCAGUGGGGAAUAUUGGACAAUGGGGGGAACCCUGAUCCAGCCAUGCCGCGCGUGUGAAGAAGGUCUUAGGAUUGUAAAGCACUUUAAGUUGGGAGGAAGAGCAGUUAACUAAUAUUUGACUGUUUUGACGUUACCGACAGAAUAAGCACCGGCUAACUUCGUGCCAGCAGCCGCCGUAA
Molecule: ribosomal RNA, 506 nt
Filed under: uncultured bacterium
Lineage: Bacteria
Description: partial 16S ribosomal RNA
Rfam family: Bacterial small subunit ribosomal RNA
Source: RNAcentral